RNAcentral lists this ribosomal RNA (411 nucleotides) under uncultured bacterium. Its description in RNAcentral is "bacterial SSU rRNA". It matches the Rfam family "Bacterial small subunit ribosomal RNA", at positions 507 to 914 of the family's 1533-position model. The record is from RNAcentral.
GCCAGCAGCCGCNGGUAAUACAGAGGGUGCAAGCGUUAUUCGGAAUUACUGGGCGUAAAGCGCGCGUAGGCGGAUAAUUAAGUCAGUUGUGAAAGCCCUUGGGCUCAACCUAGGAACUGCAUCUGAUACUGAUUGUCUAGAGUUUAAGAGAGGGAAGUGGAAUUCCAGGUGUAGCAGUGAAAUGCGUAGAUAUCUGGAGGAACAUCAGUGGCGAAGGCGACUUCCUGGCUUAAAACUGACGCUGAGGUGCGAAAGCGUGGGUAGCGAACGGGAUUAGAUACCCCGGUAGUCCACGCCGUAAACGAUGUCAACUAGUUGUUGGUCUUAUUAANAAGAUUAGUAACGAAGCUAACGCGAUAAGUUGACCGCCUGGGGAGUACGGUCGCAAGAUUAAAACUCAAAGGAAUUGAC